This 490-nucleotide ribosomal RNA is filed under the name uncultured bacterium. RNAcentral describes it as "partial 16S ribosomal RNA". It matches the Rfam family "Bacterial small subunit ribosomal RNA", at positions 30 to 507 of the family's 1533-position model. The record is from RNAcentral.
AUUGAACGCUGGCGGCAGGCCUAACACAUGCAAGUCGAACGGUAACAGGGAUCAGCUUGCUGAUUCGCUGACGAGUGGCGGACGGGUGAGUAAUGUCCGGGAAACUGCCUGCUGGAGGGGGAUAACUACUGGAAACGGUAGCUAAUACCGCAUAACGUCGCAAGACCAAAGAGGGGGACCUUCGGGCCUCUUGCCAUCGGAUGUGCCCAGAUGGGAUUAGCUAGUAGGUGGGGUAACGGCUCACCUAGGCGACGAUCCCUAGCUGGUCUGAGAGGAUGACCAGCCACACUGGAACUGAGACACGGUCCAGACUCCUACGGGAGGCAGCAGUGGGGAAUAUUGCACAAUGGGCGCAAGCCUGAUGCAGCCAUGCCGCGUGUAUGAAGAAGGCCUUCGGGUUGUAAAGUACUUUCAGCGGGGAGGAAGGGAGUAAAGUUAAUACCUUUGCUCAUUGACGUUACCCGCAGAAGAAGCACCGGCUAACUCCGUG